UCCCUGGUGGCUAAAAGGUUAAAGCGUCUGCCUGCAAUGCAGGAGACCUGGGUUCGAUCCCUGGGUUGGGAA
This is a non-coding RNA of Bos taurus (domestic cattle), 72 nucleotides long. NCBI's taxonomy places the organism in Eukaryota, Metazoa, Chordata, Mammalia, Artiodactyla, Bovidae. The record is from Rfam.